CUCUUCUUUCUUCAGCUCUGAUCUCUCUCUCUCUCUCUUCAUUCUCCUUUGUAAAAUCUUAUGUGUGAUUGUAAUUGGGACAGUCUCCCAAGUUAUUGUCCCAAUUAGUGGAAGGCUUUCUGCAGUUACUGCAUCUGUAAAUAAUGAGAGGUCAACGAUGGUGCCGAUGGGGUGACUGGAUCUAAAAGGGUUUACUUGACUAAGUUUUGUCGAGGAUUAUGGAGCUAUUUUAUUUCGAGCUGGAUAAAUACACGAUAUUGGUAAGAUCCAAUUUUGAGAUUCUUUUUUUCGCAUCUAAGGGGUUAUUAAAUCCUAACAAGUGCUAUUAUCAAGAACUGUUGGUAUCUAUCCAGAAUUGCUAUUAUCAAGAACUGUUGGUAUCUAUCCAGAAUUGGUAUUAUCAGUAUAUUUAUAGAGUUCUUGUGUAUUCUUUAAUCAAUAAAUAAAUAUAUGGGGAGUUCUUUGCAAAUAGUUUGAGAUUCUAAACAUUUUACAUGAGGAAGUAGGGCAUUACAAAAGUGAUGACAGGGAUCAGUUUACAAACUCUGGCAGCAAAGGUGGAAGAGGUGUAAGAGGUAACAGUUUUGUGAUAUGGUGAUCCUGCACGUCCAUAGUGUAUACACUCGUGAUCGUUACAACUUAUACAGGAAAACCAGCAAACAUGAAGAAGAAAUGCUUGAAUUUUCCCUAAAAAUGCAAGCAAGAGGAACUGACAUGCUUUCUUGAAUCGCAACGGAUGCCGCCUCUUCCUGCAAUUACCUAUCAAAUUUCACUUUAGAGAGAGAAACACAGAGAGACAGAGAGGUAGAGAGAGAACGCAUUAGGUAUGCCUCCGAAGAGAGAACAAUUGGGUUACCAUUCGAGGAAGUAAGCCAAGGGAGAAAGGGAGACUCUCGCGAAAAUGUUCUGUAUGUUACAAAGACAUGAGUGCUCAUGCCUUGAGAAAGUUCAACUUUAGUGAUAAGGUACAUCAAAGUACACAUUAUCUGAAUCAGGACCUAUGCAAGAACAGGCCCAUAUUCCUCCAUCUCUCUCACUAUCUCUACCUCUCUCUAUCUAUCUCUCUACUUUCUCAGUGAUGUUGAAACUUUGUUCUUUAAAUAAUGCAUCUUAUUAGAAGUUUGAGCAGGGAUGUCAUUUCGAGGCUGGUAUUUUUCCUGCAUUCAGUGAUAAUCACUUACACCAAGGUCCCUCUGGAUCAUGCAGUAAAAUACUCCCUCGGAGAAAGAGUUACUGAUGGAUCUCUUUUUUUAUAGAAGAUUUUUGGAGUUUUGAAUUUACUCAAGGGUUGUAGUUUGAAGAAGGUUGAAACAUUGAAUUAUAAGAGGGCUGUCAUUUGAGUCAUCAUACUGGCCACAAGUGGAGUGAGGUUGUUACGUUAUUAUUGUGGUUCCUUUCAGAGAAGGCUAAAUGAUGGACGAAUGUACUACAAGGACGAGAAUGUGAAAGCUGCUUUGUAUAAUGGGAGUGACGCAUUGGACCAGUUAAAGAUGCACAUGGGGUCUAUUGCGCAUUGUGACCCUAGCUAUUUGACGAUUAUAUAUCUAGAAAGUGAUAUUUUAGUAGAAGUAAACGAAGAUAUAGAUGUGACGUAUAUGUUGUUGGUGGCUUCCAAUGGUCAUGUAUGUAUUGCACAUUAACCAUUCGAAGUAAAAAACAGGGAACAUCAAACAAAUAUAGCGGGUGUAACUCCAUCAUGAGGACCAUCAACAAGGAUCAGCCAUCCCAUUCAACCAGUGCCCUUCCCCAUCAUCCAAAAUGUAGUACAUACAUGUGAUGCGGACUCCGAAAGGGCGAGACACAUCCGGCUUGAUCCCAAUGAUAUGCAUCUAUCAGAUUCUCCAUGCAGUUCAGUCUACUCACAUAUUCAUCUUUAUAUAUGACAAGAGUUCGAGGAUCUUAGGCUACUCCAUAAUCCUUUAGCAGAUUAUUAUAUAUAUAAAUUAUUUUUCAUGAA
Molecule: non-coding RNA, 1957 nt
Organism: Amborella trichopoda
Lineage: Eukaryota; Viridiplantae; Streptophyta; Magnoliopsida; Amborellales; Amborellaceae
Source: RefSeq, a predicted model, not a curated record